This 483-nucleotide ribosomal RNA is filed under the name Fusarium solani. RNAcentral describes it as "eukaryotic LSU rRNA". The stretch from base 143 to 296 matches the Rfam family "5.8S ribosomal RNA". The record is from RNAcentral. Lineage: Eukaryota; Fungi; Ascomycota; Sordariomycetes; Hypocreales; Nectriaceae.
ACAACUCAUCAACCCUGUGAACAUACCUAAAACGUUGCUUCGGCGGGAACAGACGGCCCCGUGAAACGGGCCGCCCCCCGCCAGAGGACCCCCUAAUUCUGUUGCUAUAUGUAUCUUCUGAGUAAACAAGCAAAUAAAUUAAAACUUUCAACAACGGAUCUCUUGGCUCUGGCAUCGAUGAAGAACGCAGCGAAAUGCGAUAAGUAAUGUGAAUUGCAGAAUUCAGUGAAUCAUCGAAUCUUUGAACGCACAUUGCGCCCGCCAGUAUUCUGGCGGGCAUGCCUGUUCGAGCGUCAUUACAACCCUCAGGCCCCCGGGCCUGGCGUUGGGGAUCGGCGAGGCGCCCCCCUGCGGGCACGCGCCGUCCCCCAAAUACAGUGGCGGUCCCGCCGCAGCUUCCAUUGCGUAGUAGCUAACACCUCGCAACUGGAGAGCGGCGCGGCCAUGCCGUAAACACCCAACUUCUGAAUGUUGACCUCGAAU